Molecule: long non-coding RNA, 295 nt
Organism: Octopus sinensis (East Asian common octopus)
Lineage: Eukaryota; Metazoa; Mollusca; Cephalopoda; Octopoda; Octopodidae
Exons: 3
Source: RefSeq, a predicted model, not a curated record
GGAGAGUUGCGGCCAGCAAUCGAAGGAAAAGCUAAUGCAGAUAAAUUGAAUGGUGCGGAUAUAAUUACGAAAAUUCUAGCAUUUGCCGCAAUCCUGCUUUUUAUGGGCAAUCUUCAUUAAGGAUCUUGCAAAAACGAAAACGAAAAAGUAACAGAAACCACCCGCUUACUGCCUGAUUCAGCGAAUCUUUCAAGUAACAGCCAACUCACGUUUUCCCCGGAUAUAAAUAUUUGACGCUACACUAUACAUUGAGUGCUUUCUCCAGUUACCGUUCAUUGUUUUCUGAUGCUGAAAA